RNAcentral lists this ribosomal RNA (492 nucleotides) under uncultured bacterium. RNAcentral describes it as "partial 16S ribosomal RNA". It matches the Rfam family "Bacterial small subunit ribosomal RNA", at positions 29 to 507 of the family's 1533-position model. The record is from RNAcentral.
AGUGAACGCUGGCGGUAGGCCUAACACAUGCAGGUCGAACGGCAGCACAGUAAGAGCUUGCUCUUACGGGUGGCGAGUGGCGGACGGGUGAGGAAUACAUCGGAAUCUACUUUUUCGUGGGGGAUAACGUAGGGGAACUUACGCUAAUACCGCAUACGACCUACGGGUGAAAGCAGGGGAUCUUCGGACCUUGCGCGAUUGAAUGAGCCGAUGUCGGAUUAGCUAGUUGGCGGGGUAAAGGCCCACCAAGGCGACGAUCCGUAGCUGGUCUGAGAGGAUGAUCAGCCACACUGGAACUGAGACACGGUCCAGACUCCUACGGGAGGCAGCAGUGGGGAAUAUUGGACAAUGGGCGCAAGCCUGAUCCAGCCAUACCGCGUGGGUGAAGAAGGCCUUCGGGUUGUAAAGCCCUUUUGUUGGGAAAGAAAAGCAGCAGGUUAAUACCCCGCUGUUCUGACGGUACCCAAAGAAUAAGCACCGGCUAACUUCGUG